AACGAACGCUGGCGGCGCGCUUAACACAUGCAAGUCGAACGAGAAGGCGUAGCAAUACGCUUGUACAGUGGCGAACGGGUGAGGAAUACAUGGGUAACCUACCCUCGAGUGGGGGAUAACCCGCCGAAAGGCGGGCUAAUACCGCGUACGCUUCCGAUCUUGCGGGAUUGGAAGGAAAGCUGUCCCUUGGGGAUGGCGCUCAAGGACGGGCUCAUGUCCUAUCAGCUUGUUGGUAGGGAACGGCCUACCAAGGCAUCGACGGGUAGCUGGUCUGAGAGGACGAUCAGCCACACUGGCACUGCGACACGGGCCAGACUCCUACGGGAGGCAGCAGUGAGGAAUAUUGCGC
RNAcentral lists this ribosomal RNA (349 nucleotides) under uncultured bacterium. RNAcentral describes it as "bacterial SSU rRNA". It matches the Rfam family "Bacterial small subunit ribosomal RNA", at positions 29 to 369 of the family's 1533-position model. The record is from RNAcentral.